AUAGAUUAAAUGAUUUAAUCCUAAUCACAUAUAUAAGAUCCUAUCUUAGACUACCACAUCAUGAUCUUUGAUAAGAAAAUAUGCACUUUAGGUCUAAAAAUAAAAAUCGCAUCGAUCUCAUCAAUGCGGAAAUUCUAGAUCUAACUAUUAGAUCUACCAUAGGAAUCAAAACAAGUUAGAGAUCGUUACUAAAUAAAUUUGAUCUUAAUUUCUUCUAGUUCAAUGGUUAGAGAAGGUAUUCUUUAGGUUGCUCACAGUCACACGGAGUCAUCUGGCCUC
Molecule: long non-coding RNA, 279 nt
Filed under: Elaeis guineensis (African oil palm)
Lineage: Eukaryota; Viridiplantae; Streptophyta; Magnoliopsida; Arecales; Arecaceae
Description: long non-coding RNA (EGUI_LNC038716)
Source: RNAcentral